Molecule: ribosomal RNA, 853 nt
Filed under: uncultured bacterium
Lineage: Bacteria
Description: bacterial SSU rRNA
Rfam family: Bacterial small subunit ribosomal RNA
Source: RNAcentral
CUAAUACAUGCAAGUCGAACGGUGGUUUAUUUUGUAGUAAUACGAAGUGAUCAUAGUGGCGAACGGGUGAGUAACGCGUUGGUGAUCUGCCUCGAAGUGUGGAAUAACGUUCCGAAAGGAACGCUAAUACCGCAUGUGCUCUCGAUUUUUAGAAAGUUGAGAGUAAAGGAUUUAUUCGCUUCGAGAGGAGCCUGCGUCCCAUCAGCUAGUUGGUAGGGUAAUAGCCUACCAAGGCUUUGACGGGUAGGGGACCUGAGAGUGUGGCCCCCCACAAUGGAACUGAAACACGGUCCAUACACCUACGGGUGGCAGCAGUAGGGAAUAUUAGAAAUGGACGAAAGUCUGAUCUAGCGACACCGCGUGUGCGAUGAAGGCCUUCGGGUUGUAAAGCACUUUUUGGAAGGAAUAGGAAGGAAGGUACUUCCAGAAUAAGUCUCGGCUAACUACGUGCCAGCAGCCGCGGUAACACGUAGGAGGCAAACGUUAUCCGGAUUUACUGGGCGUAAAGCGCGUGUAGGUGGUUCUGUAAGUAGGGCGUGAAAGCUCCCGGCUCAACUGGGAGAGGCCGUUCUAAACUGCAGAGCUAGAGGAUGGUAGAGGGAGGUGGAAUUCCAGGUGUAGCGGUGGAAUGCGCAGAUAUCUGGAGGAACACCAGUGGCGAAGGCGGCCUCCUGGACCAUUCCUGACACUCAGACGCGAAAGCUAGGGUAGCAAACGGGAUUAGAGACCCCGGUAGUCCUAGCCCUAAACGAUGUAGACUAGACGUCGGCGGUGUAAAAACUGUCGGUGUCCAAGCUAACGCGAUAAGUCUACCGCCUGGGGACUACGGCCGCAAGGUUAAAACUCAAAGGAA